UUCUUAGUAGCUUUUACUUUAAGCUUCAUCAAACUAUUAAAUUCUAAUAAU
This 51-nucleotide transfer RNA is filed under the name Halipeurus diversus. RNAcentral describes it as "tRNA-Ser". Lineage: Eukaryota; Metazoa; Arthropoda; Insecta; Psocodea; Philopteridae. The record is from RNAcentral.